This 216-nucleotide ribosomal RNA is filed under the name uncultured Achromobacter sp. Its description in RNAcentral is "partial 16S ribosomal RNA". It matches the Rfam family "Bacterial small subunit ribosomal RNA", at positions 62 to 280 of the family's 1533-position model. Lineage: Bacteria; Pseudomonadati; Pseudomonadota; Betaproteobacteria; Burkholderiales; Alcaligenaceae. The record is from RNAcentral.
UCGAACGGCAGCACGGACUUCGGUCUGGUGGCGAGUGGCGAACGGGUGAGUAAUGUAUCGGAACGUGCCCAGUAGCGGGGGAUAACUACGCGAAAGCGUAGCUAAUACCGCAUACGCCCUACGGGGGAAAGCAGGGGAUCGCAAGACCUUGCACUAUUGGAGCGGCCGAUAUCGGAUUAGCUAGUUGGUGGGGUAACGGCUCACCAAGGCGACGAU